AGCGAACGCUGGCGGUAGGCCUAACACAUGCAAGUCGAACGGGAGCACAGUAGGAGCUUGCUGCUACGGGGGGCGAGUGGCGUAGGGGCGAGGAAUACAUCGGAAUCUACUUUUUCGUGGGGGAUAACGUAGGGAAACAUACGCUAAUACAGCAUACGACCUCUGGGUGAAAGCAGGGGCUCUUCGGAUCUUGCGCGUUUGAAUGUGCCGAUGUUGGAUUAGCUAGUUGGCGGGGUAGAGGCACACCAAGGCGACGAUCCGUAGCUGGUCUGAGAGGAUGAUCCACCACACUGGAACUGAGAAAGAGCACACACACCUGGACGAGGCCGCGGUGGGGAAUCUUGCGCGAGGGACGAGAGGCUGAUCCAGCCAUACCGCGUCAAUGAAGAAGCCCUUCGGGUUGUAGAGCGCUGUUGUCCGUAAAGAAAAGAAGCACUUUACUUCGCCACUGUACUGACGGUACCCAAAGAAUAAGCACCGGCUAACUUCGUG
RNAcentral lists this ribosomal RNA (492 nucleotides) under uncultured bacterium. Its description in RNAcentral is "partial 16S ribosomal RNA". It matches the Rfam family "Bacterial small subunit ribosomal RNA", at positions 29 to 507 of the family's 1533-position model. The record is from RNAcentral.